AGAGUUUGAUCCUGGCCUCAGAAUCAACGCUGGCGGCGCUGCCUAACACAUGCAAGUCGAACGCGAAAGGGGAGCAAUCCCUGAGUAGAGUGGCAAACGGGUGAGUAACACGUGGGUGACCUGCCUUCGAGUGGGGGAUAACGUCCCGAAAGGGACGCUAAUACCGCAUGACAUCCUGCUUUUGGAAAAGCGGAGAUCAAAGCUGGGGAUCGCAAGACCUGGCGCUUGAAGAGGGGCCCGCGCCUGAUUAGCUAGUUGGUGGGGUAAUGGCUCACCAAGGCUACGAUCAGUAUCCGGCCUGAGAGGGCGGACGGACACACUGGGACUGAGACACGGCCCAGACUCCUACGGGAGGCAGCAGUGGGGAAUUGUUCGCAAUGGGCGCAAGCCUGACGACGCAACGCCGCGUGGAGGACGAAGAUCUUCGGGUCGUAAACUCCUGUCGAGCGGGAAGAACGCUUCGCGGAUGAAUAAGCCGCGGAAAUGACGGUACCGCUAAAGGAAGCCCCGGCUAACUCCGUGCCAGCAGCCGCGGUAAUACGGGGGGGGCAAGCGUUGUUCGGAAUUACUGGGCGUAAAGGGCUCGUAGGCGGCCAACUAAGUCGGAUGUGAAAUCCCCAGGCUUAACCUGGGAACUGCAUCCGAUACUGGAUGGCUUGAAUCCGGGAGAGGGAUGCAGAAUUCCAGGUGUAGCGGUGAAAUGCGUAGAUAUCUGGAGGAAUACCGGUGGCGAAGGCGGCAUCCUGGACCGGCAUUGACGCUGAUGAGCGAAAGCUAGGGGAGCAAACGGGAUUAGAUACCCCCGGUAGUCCUAGCCCUAAACGAUGAAUGCUUGGUGUGACGG
This 844-nucleotide ribosomal RNA is filed under the name uncultured bacterium. RNAcentral's name for it is "bacterial SSU rRNA". It matches the Rfam family "Bacterial small subunit ribosomal RNA", at positions 8 to 828 of the family's 1533-position model. The record is from RNAcentral.